AUUUAUAUAGUUUAUAAAAACCUUACAUUUUCAUUGUAAAAAUAAAGAAUUUUCUUUUAUAAAUUACUAAAUUUAAUUAUAAAUA
RNAcentral lists this transfer RNA (85 nucleotides) under Rhagio sp. KW-2016. RNAcentral describes it as "tRNA-Glu". The record is from RNAcentral. Lineage: Eukaryota; Metazoa; Arthropoda; Insecta; Diptera; Rhagionidae.